RNAcentral lists this ribosomal RNA (328 nucleotides) under uncultured eukaryote. RNAcentral's name for it is "partial 18S ribosomal RNA". It matches the Rfam family "Eukaryotic small subunit ribosomal RNA", at positions 1470 to 1796 of the family's 1831-position model. The record is from RNAcentral.
CCCUUAGAUGUUCUGGGCUGCACGCGCGCUACACUGAAGCGUUCAACGAGUAUUCACCUUGCCCGGGAGGGUUGGGUAAUCUUUUGAAAACGCUUCGUGAUGGGGAUAGAUUAUUGCAAUUAUUAAUCUUCAACGAGGAAUUCCUAGUAAGCGCGAGUCAUCAGCUCGUGCUGAUUACGUCCCUGCCCUUUGUACACACCGCCCGUCGCUACUACCGAUUGAACGUUUUAGUGAGGUAUUUGGACUGGACCUUCGGAGGUUCGCGCCUCCGUUGCUGUUCGGGAAGACUCCCAAACUUGAGCGUUUAGAGGAAGUAAAAGUCGUAACA